Molecule: ribosomal RNA, 447 nt
Filed under: uncultured bacterium
Lineage: Bacteria
Description: partial 16S ribosomal RNA
Rfam family: Bacterial small subunit ribosomal RNA
Source: RNAcentral
AGCGAACGCUGGCGGCAGGCUUAACACAUGCAAGUCGAACGGUCCUUCGGGAUAGUGGCGGACGGGUGAGUAACACGUGGGAACGUACCCUUAGGUUCGGAACAACACAGGGAAACUUGUGCUAAUACCGGAUAAGCCCUUCGGGGGAAAGAUUUAUCGCCUUUGGAGCGGCCCGCGUCUGAUUAGCUUGUUGGUGAGGUAAGUGCUCACCAAGGCUACGAUCAGUAGCUGGUCUGAGAGGAUGGCCAGCCACACUGGGACUGAGACACGGCCCAGACUCCUACGGGAGGCAGCAGUGGGGAAUCUUGCGCAAUGGGCGAAAGCCUGACGCAGCCAUGCCGCGUGGAUGAUGAAGGUCUUAGGAUUGUAAAAUCCUUUCACCGGGGACGAUAAUGACGGUACCCGGAGAAGAAGCCCCGGCUAACUUCGUGCCAGCCGCCGCAGUAA